This 450-nucleotide ribosomal RNA is filed under the name uncultured bacterium. RNAcentral describes it as "bacterial SSU rRNA". It matches the Rfam family "Bacterial small subunit ribosomal RNA", at positions 328 to 793 of the family's 1533-position model. The record is from RNAcentral.
CGUCCAGACUCCUACGGGAGGCAGCAGUGGGGAAUAUUGGGCAAUGGGCGCAAGCCUGACCCAGCAACGCCGCGUGAAGGAAGAAGGCUUUCGGGUUGUAAACUUCUUUUAAGAGGGACGAAACAAAUGACGGUACCUCUUGAAUAAGCCACGGCUAACUACGUGCCAGCAGCCGCGGUAAUACGUAGGUGGCAAGCGUUAUCCGGAUUUAUUGGGUUUAAAGGGUGCGCAGGCGGCACGGCGAGCCGGCGGUCAAAUCGCGGGGCUCAACCCCGCCCAGCCGUCGGAACUGCCGGGCUAGAGUGGGCGAGAAGUGCGCGGAAUGCGUGGUGUAGCGGUGAAAUGCAUAGAUAUCACGCAGAACUCCGAUUGCGAAGGCAGCUUACUAAACUGUGACUGACAUUGAUGCUCGAAAGUGUGGGUAUCAAACAGGAUUAGAUACCCCUGUAA